AACAACUUUCCUGUGGAGCAUCAAAAUUCUUGUUUCUCUGUGUUAAGCACACAGAAUAAAGAAUCAGGAUGAUGCCCCACAACAUUUGCCUAUGUAUUAGAAAGCCAUCCUGAGGUACAUGGAAGGAAAUUGUGAUCUAUCUGGCCCCAAGGGAUGAUGGAAAAAAGAGAUAAAAUGGAAAUACAAACUGUGAGCAGUUUCUGCUCUGAACUGUAAACACCAAUGCGGAAUUUAUGACAGAUUGUGUGGCUCUAUUUUGUUGGUCUUUGGAACUGAGGUCAAAAUUAAGGGGGGCACUUGGGGGAAUUCGUAUUGUGCCACUAAAGGUAAAUUCUUGGACCGGUGAAAGACUGAUCAGAUGGAAAGCAUUUGCCAAUAAUGUUUUCAUUGAUCAAGAAAGAAAGUCAGAGGUUUGAAGAUGAUCAGAAAGCAUCUUAGUUCUGACCACAAACAAUGCCAACUGAGAGAUGCAGUGGUGUUAUUUCCAUGACCCUCCCAGGCAGCUUCCUGGAAACCUAAGUGUUUGGGUUUGGAGGGAGUAUGGUUGCAAAGCUGAAACUUAAGGGAAUUGAUGGAAGGGCACCACUAGGAGUGGACCUUCACCUUAGUUUGACUCAACUUGGGAGACCUCACCUGGACCAGACACAGACAGGAUUGACAGAUUGAUAGCUCUUUCUUGAAUCCGUGGGUGGUGGUGCAUGGCCAUUCUUAUUUGGUGGAUUGAUUUGUCUGGUUAUUUCCAAUAAGGAAGGAGACUCUGGCAUGCUAACUAGUUAAGUGAACCCGGAGUGGUCAGCAUCCCCCAACUUCUUAGAGGGACAAGUGGCAUUCAGCCACCUGAGAUUGAGCAAUAACAGGUCUGUGAUGCCCUUAGAUGUCUGAGGUUGAAUGCACACUACACUGCCUGGCUCAGCCUGUGCCUACUCUAAGCCAGCAGGAGUGAGUAACCCAUUGAACCCCAUUUGUGAUGGGGAAGGGGGAUUGCAAUUAUUCCCCAUGAAUGAGGAAUACGCAGUAAGUGCUGGUCAUAAGCUUGCAUUAAUUAAGUCCCUGUCCUUUUUGCACACUACCAAUUUGGUGGUUUAGUGAGGCCCUCAGAUCAGCCCUGCAGGGGUCUGCCCAUGGCCCUGGUUGAGUGCUGAGAAGAAGUCGAACUUGGCUAUCUAGAGGAAUUAAAAGUCCCAAAAAGUUUUCUGCAGGUGAACCUGCAGAAGGAUCAUUA
Molecule: non-coding RNA, 1222 nt
Filed under: Cricetulus griseus (Chinese hamster)
Lineage: Eukaryota; Metazoa; Chordata; Mammalia; Rodentia; Cricetidae
Description: Eukaryotic small subunit ribosomal RNA
Rfam family: Eukaryotic small subunit ribosomal RNA
Source: Rfam by way of RNAcentral